UCCUCAUCCUUUCUGAACGCCCCCAAAAACUGUCCGUUUGAGAACAAAGCCAGCUUUACGCUGUGUGAUUCCGGCACCCGUAUAAGAUCGUCCCACUAUACGAGAUGAUCCGACAAAACCCUCGCUUGAUUGUAGAACUGGCUGCGAGAUUCCACGUGUCCUCCACGUCAGCUUACAUGGAGAAGAUCAAAUACACCACCGCUGAUCUGUACUCACAGCCAAGUAAAUCUUUUAGUGUGUCAUUUUCUUUAUCUGUGACUGCAGAUCCAGGCUGGAAAUCUUCACAGCAUAAAGCCGUCUCUCCCUAACCCGAUAUUCUCAAUCCUCUCUCUGUUCCGGAACAUAUUUCCGUUUCAUUCUUGCUCAGAAACAAGAACAACUUUGGCUGCAUUGCUGAAAAAAACAAACACAACAGCGUCUUGUACCGUCAUAUUAUCUGGCUAGCUAGCAUGGCUUGAUAACUAGCUAGCAUGCUAAAUAUCUAACUUUCUAUCAAGCUACUAGCAGAGACAAAUCAGCAGUUAUUUAUGGAUAAAAUUGGAAUAAUAAAACCCUGAAGACAGACAAUCAGAUGAUCUAUCUAUGGGUUUUUCUUUCUUUCUUUCUUUCUUCUUAAUAUUAAUUGAACCUUUCAAAAAGGAAACAUUAUAAGAACGCAAUGCUUUCUGGGUAAGUUGUGCUCCUGAGGUAUACAAGGAUAAGAGGUCAGAGAAAAACAAAGGAUUAGUGUUAAUUAUUAAUUAUUAAUCGCACUUUUGAUUAUUUAAUCUGGAGUGAAAUGAUACGACAAAUGGAUUCGUUGUGCUUAUCUUUCUUUUUAAUGUUUUUUUAAUUUUUUUUUUUUUUUUUAACAUAUAUAUAUAUAUAUUUUUCCGUGUUGAGAAAUUCCAAAUGUGCUGAAUGCAAUCAAAUCCGAGCGAAAUGCAAAGUGGGGGAAAAAAAUAAAUAAAUAUUUUAGAUGGAUGUAUUGUGGAAUAUUACUUAUAAAAGAAAUAUACCCAUUGUGCUACAGAGGUCAUUUUUAUUUUGUAAUUAGAGCGGUGUAUUGAUAUAUCAAAUAAAAUUGUUUUGUAAAUAUCCACAAACAUUGUUCAGGCAUGUUUUAUUCAUUUUUUUUCAUUUUCCUGUUUCGUUUUCCAGAUGUAGCAAAUGCAAAACUGAAGUGCUGUAUAGUGACUUUAAUAUCGACUGUGGUGCUGUUUCGAGGUAAAAUGUUUAUAGUCAAGUGUUUACAUCGUUUUUAGUAACGUUUGAAGUUAUUUAUCUGAAACAUGCACACACUUUACGUGUCUUUAGAAUGUUUACACACAAACUUUACUUUCCAGACGUAUUUGUACAGGGAACGUAAUAAUCGGUGGGAAGGAAAUGGCACCGGACCAUGAAAUCAGCCGUGAGAGAAUAUUAUUCGUUGUCUUCUUCAUUGUUUUCUAAUAUCUGUGAACAUGAGUUACGAUUAAAUAGACGCUUCCAUCUUUACUGGAUAAACGAAAACAACAACAACAGGGACUUAAACCAACCAAGAUUUUUUUUUUAAGCAGACAGCAACAACAACAAUGUGGAUAUCCCGCUCCAAAACCAUGUCCAUUGAUAUAGAAUUGGCUGCUCUAACAGCCUCCACUCAUCUGAGAAGGCUUUCCACGAGAUCGUGGAGCAUGGUUGUGUUUUGUAAAUUGUGUUCAUUCAGCCACAAGAGCAUUACUGAGCUCGUGCACUGAUGUCAGACGAGUUCCAGUUCAUCUCGGAGGUGUUGGAUGGGGUUCAAGUCAGGGCUCUGUUCAGGACACUGGAGUUCUUCGACACCGACCUUGGCGUACCAUGUCUUCAUGGAGUUCUCUUUGUGUAUGGAUGCCGGAUCAGGUUUGGGUAGGUAACCAUGGUAACCCUAACCCUGUAAAUCUACAGCACCCAAACAAAUUCCAGACAAUCGUGUGCCAACUUCCAACAGUUUUUAUUUCCCCCUCUCCGUGUGCCCCCAAAACAGAUCUGACCCGUCGAGGCAUGGACUCCACAAGACCUCUGAGGCUGUGCUGUGGUAUCUGGCACCGAGACGUUAGCAGCAGAUCCUUUAAGCUGCAAGGCGAGGCCUCCGUAGAUCGGACCUGUUUGUCCGGCACGUCCCACAGCCGCUCGAUCGAAUAGAGAUCUGGGGGAUUUGUUGAACACUGUCAUGUUCCUCAAACCGUUCCUGAACCAUUUUUGCUGCGUGUCAGGGUGCGUUAUCCUGCUGAGAGACGCCAAUGCCAUUAGGGAAUACCGUUACCUUGUUUCAGUAGGUGAUACGUGUCAAAGUAACAUCCACAUGAAUGCCAGGACCCAAGGUUUCCCAGAGGAACAUUCCCCAGAGCAUCACACUGCCUCCGCCUUCUUCCCAUAGCGCCUCCUGGUGCUAACUCUUCUCCGGGUAAGCAAUGCACACACAUGCACCACAUGAUGUAAAAGAAAACAUGACUCAUCAGACCAGCCCGCCUUCUUCCAUCGCUCUUAGGUAUAUUUUAAGCAGGAUCCCAAUCAUGUAUAAAUCAAUGUAUAAUUUAAAGAAACUAAGACAAGCUGAUGUGACUCUAACUUGUGGAACAUCACAGGACACAUAUUCCUCACUCACCCUCUGUACCUAUUGAGGAACAUUUAGUCUGUUCUCCGUAUCUUUUUACCAGGUUGUGAUUUCUUAAAGUGUAUUGUUCAAGUUUACAUUUUUAUUCGUAAUGUUAAUCCGUAUAAAAACACACAAAAAAAUAAUAAACCGAUGAGCUUGCGCCACAAUUAAAGAAAAGGGAGAGUGAAAUAAUUGUGGUGAGAGGUCAGUGGCAUGAUUUAAAAGAAAAAAACAACGACAUUGUUUUUAAAAUUGUAUAAAAGCAGGAGCCACGACUGUCUUAAAUCAGAUCUUCCGCAGACCAUCUGGGCUUUGCUGCUUUUUUAAAAUAAAGUCUUUAAAUCGGUACAUUUUAGCCGGAC
Molecule: long non-coding RNA, 2955 nt
Organism: Ictalurus punctatus (channel catfish)
Lineage: Eukaryota; Metazoa; Chordata; Actinopteri; Siluriformes; Ictaluridae
Source: Ensembl